RNAcentral lists this transfer RNA (76 nucleotides) under Candidatus Zixiibacteriota bacterium. RNAcentral's name for it is "candidate division Zixibacteria bacterium tRNA-Lys". It matches the Rfam family "tRNA". Rfam says of the family: Transfer RNA (tRNA) molecules are approximately 80 nucleotides in length. Their secondary structure includes four short double-helical elements and three loops (D, anti-codon, and T loops). The record is from RNAcentral. Lineage: Bacteria; Pseudomonadati; Candidatus Zixiibacteriota.
GAGAAUGUAGCUCAGCCGGUAGAGCAACGGACUUUUAAUCCGUGGGUCGCGGGUUCGAUCCCCGCCAUUCUCACAA